GACUGUUGUUCAUUUUGUUGUCGAUUUAUUGAUAGAUGAGAGUUUUUCGCUAAGGUUUUCCUCCUUGUUGUCUCUCUUUCCAAACCUAUAGUUUCUUCAUUGUUGACAAGUAUAUGGGCAAUGUUCAUACACUAGUACUGAACCACUUCCUUCAAGACGCUUCUGCAAGUACUGAUCCUGUUGAAGGGUGCAAACUCAUAAGAAAAGAUAAAGCAGCUCUAACUUUACUGCUUGGCUAUGUUCCGACUUUGAAGAAAGCACACACAUGAUUCAUUCGUCCUAUGGAUUUAUUCACUGCUUCGAUUACAGAUCAAUCGCACUUGCAAUUUUGUAUCUAAAUGGAAGGCAUUUGUAAGUGGUAUCAUUAGAGCUGUAUAUAACCUCAAAGGUAAACUCUUCUCAGUUUUAUUACCAGGUUUGGACCACCUAUUGAAGUUAAUUGGGCGUAUGCCACUGGGUAGAGGGAGGAUACAUAUCAGGUUGGUUUAUGUGAUGCUUAUUUUUCGCUUUAAAUAAUAUGCAUUUGAAGGCUAGGCAUUGAAUGUUGCUUAUUAUUGUCAUCCAUAUGUAAUAUAGUCUUAUAACAUACCUGUAUUUUUAUAGGUCACUUUAACAUAUAUGUUGGUGACGUUAGAUUUGAGGUUACAGAUGCAAUGCUGUUUACAUGCUUUUCUGCCAAUGCUAGUUAUUCGUGAAUAAACACCCUCUAUCUCGCGCACACACACACAUAUGCACCCACUUAUCUCUCUAUCUAUCCUUCCUCUCAUGUUGUAUUUUUCCGUGUAUCUAUAGUUAAAUCUAGCUUUGUUAUAUUAGGUUUAAUGAUUUGUGUGUUGUGUCUAAUUAUCUUCUUGUUGUAUUAUAAGGAAAAAUGGGUUGGUUCGGUUAUGGGUCAGCACUGUGGGUAAUAUUUUAAAAACAGGUUAGUUGGGUCAAGGCCUAAUUAGAAAAGGUCAAUGAAAAAUGAAAGAGAAGCAAGAUGCUGAAAUUAAGGAAAUGAAAGAAAACCAAGAGUUUAAACACUUGGAUAUUGUUUAAUGCUUCAAGUUCUGUUUUAGUGAUUGAAAUUAAGAUUGUCUUCAAAUGCAUGCUGAUAUUGUUGAUCACCACAUGGUUUCAGAUUGCCAACGAUUCAUUCAGUGCGAUAUUCACCAUCCUGAUGCAAAUGCUACUGCUUCUUAUGGAAGUCAAAUGAGAACUAUCAUCCAAGUUGAGAUCUGCUGCUGGUUGGAUACAUUUUUUAGGGGUUCGUCUUCAUCUUUUCCGUUGAUCAAUAAUCAACAUUGAACUCGCUAGCUACAGCACAGCAAAUACACCUUGCAAUUGAAUCUUGAUCGAAAUCUUUAGAUGGUUCAUGGUUCAUUUUCUUCAACUGGUGUCAUUUGUGGAUUUUAUAUACACCACAUCCAACAACUGAACCCAAUCCGUUUGGGGAGGUAAGAUGUAGACACUAGACAAUAUGCCUCUACCCAAAGGUAUGGAUUUUAUAUAUAUUUGUAGGAUUUUAAAUGUUGUUUCAAGUUUUAUUUCUGGUAGUAAAAUGCUUUGGGUGAUUGGGUCUUGCUAUGGCAAGUCACAGAGGUAUGAUGCAUACAUUAGGACAGGUAAGGAUAUGCCACUGUGAGUCUUAAUAAUGGAUUUAUGCUUUUUUGCACAGGUAAAAAGUAUAGAUAGCAAUUUAUAGCAAAUUUUAUCCUUUAAUACUGUUAGCAAUAUAGAAGCUUAUUCGCUAUUUGGAGCCUCAGCUUAUGUCAUAAUAGGACAAGAUUAACAUUUUUGACUUAGCUUUAGAGGAGUUAUGAAGAGUACAAAAAUAAAAUUUUGGCAUGCUUAUGAUACCUUGUCAUUGCUAUGUAAUAUGAAAGAAAAUGUUUACUG
Erigeron canadensis is the source of this 1878-nucleotide long non-coding RNA. RefSeq lists it as uncharacterized. The transcript is spliced from 4 exons. Lineage: Eukaryota; Viridiplantae; Streptophyta; Magnoliopsida; Asterales; Asteraceae. The record is from RefSeq and is a predicted model, not a curated record.